This 497-nucleotide ribosomal RNA is filed under the name uncultured bacterium. RNAcentral describes it as "partial 16S ribosomal RNA". It matches the Rfam family "Bacterial small subunit ribosomal RNA", at positions 28 to 507 of the family's 1533-position model. The record is from RNAcentral.
GAUGAACGCUGGCGGCGUGCCAAAUACAUGCAAGUCGAGCGAACAGACGAGGAGCUUGCUCCUCUGACGUUAGCGGCGGACGGGUGAGUAACACGUGGAUAACCUACCUAUAAGACUGGGAUAACUUCGGGAAACCGGAGCUAAUACCGGAUAAUAUAUUGAACCGCAUGGUUCAAUAGUGAAAGACGGUUUUGCUGUCACUUAUAGAUGGAUCCGCGCCGCAUUAGCUAGUUGGUAAGGUAACGGCUUACCAAGGCGACGAUGCGUAGCCGACCUGAGAGGGUGAUCGGCCACACUGGAACUGAGACACGGUCCAGACUCCUACGGGAGGCAGCAGUAGGGAAUCUUCCGCAAUGGGCGAAAGCCUGACGGAGCAACGCCGCGUGAGUGAUGAAGGUCUUCGGAUCGUAAAACUCUGUUAUUAGGGAAGAACAAAUGUGUAAGUAACUAUGCACGUCUUGACGGUACCUAAUCAGAAAGCCACGGCUAACUACGUG